Small nucleolar RNA from Psammomys obesus (fat sand rat), 128 nucleotides. RefSeq annotates it as small nucleolar RNA SNORA64/SNORA10 family. The record is from RefSeq and is a predicted model, not a curated record. The transcript has a single exon. NCBI's taxonomy places the organism in Eukaryota, Metazoa, Chordata, Mammalia, Rodentia, Muridae.
ACUCUCUCACUCUGCAUAGUUGCAUAGUUACCCACGUGACUUUCGUAUGGGAAGAGAGGAAAAGGAGUUCCUCAAUACCGUGGAUUGGCCUCACCGCAGCCUCUUUUGCCUAGAGGAGCACCACAGGU